RNAcentral lists this ribosomal RNA (292 nucleotides) under uncultured eukaryote. RNAcentral's name for it is "partial 18S ribosomal RNA". It matches the Rfam family "Eukaryotic small subunit ribosomal RNA", at positions 6 to 293 of the family's 1831-position model. The record is from RNAcentral.
GGUUGAUCCUGCCAGUAGUCAUAUGCUUGUCUCAAAGAUUAAGCCAUGCAUGUCUAAGUAUGAGAGGUUUGAAUACUCUGAAACUGCGAAUGGCUCAUUACAUCAGUAACAAUUUCUUUGAUGGUCCCCUUGCUACUCGGAUACCCGUAGAAAAUCUAGAGCUAAUACGUGCACGAAGGCCCGACCCUCGGGAAGGGCUGCAGCUAUUAGAUACAAGACCGACCGCCUUUGGCGACCCCCGGUGAAUCAUGAUGGCUUUGCGGAUCGCAGAGCGCCUCGCGCGCGGCGACGU